This 253-nucleotide ribosomal RNA is filed under the name uncultured bacterium. Its description in RNAcentral is "partial 16S ribosomal RNA". It matches the Rfam family "Bacterial small subunit ribosomal RNA", at positions 524 to 776 of the family's 1533-position model. The record is from RNAcentral.
UACAGAGGUCCCAAGCGUUGUUCGGAUUCAUUGGGCGUAAAGGGUGCGUAGGCGGCGCGGUAAGUCGGGUGUGAAAUCUCGGAGCUUAACUCCGAAACUGCAUUCGAUACUGCGGCGCUUGAGGACUGGAGAGGAGACUGGAAUUCAUGGUGUAGCAGUGAAAUGCGUAGAGAUCAUGAGGAAGACCAGUGGCGAAGGCGGGUCUCUGGACAGUUCCUGACACUGAGGCACGAAGGCCAGGGGAGCAAACGGG